GAGCCUUUCUCCUCAUCUACAUAUGGAGAUGCCAGACACUCGCACACCGAAUGCGCUGAAAUAAAGGUUGGAUGCUGUGAAUGUCACCUGAUUCCUUUCACAUGUUUUUUUCCACCUGGAAAAUGGGGAUGAGUGGAGGAAAAAAAAAAAGUUCUGAAAAAAUAUUUUGAUGAAACUUCAGUCUAGAAAGAUUGUUUAGCUCCUGUGUGGAAUUUCUGCUCCAAACCACUUUCUCUUCUGCUCUCUCCAGCCUGCAGUGAGCCUUAAAUAGCAAUUUUGAGGCAGGACUUGAAGUCCGGAUCUUCUCAAAGAGACCAGAAAUGACUGGCUUGUGUUCGCUCAGAGUAUAAAGAACUGUGCCAAAUUCAAAGCCGGUGUGAGCAGCUAUAACUUUGCCAGCUUCAAUGAAAUGGAAUGUUAUUUUUGGACAUAGAGCUAUGUGGAUUCCAAGGGGAAAAUGGAAUGGAGCCAAUUCUGCGGUGAAACGAGUGUAGAAGACAGCGUGGUCACUGCAAUGUGUGACAGGACUGGAACUCCUGAAAGAGGCAAAGCACGGAAGACAGAGGAUACUCUCCAAAAGACAGGAUACUUCUUUGGAUACUGUGAUGAAGAGGUUUUUUGGUGCACUGGCUCUUAUGACAGUGAAGGAUGUGUUCUGGGGCCCCGUCAUGCAGAAAGGGAAAUGCUGCUACAGGGGACGCACAGCCACAGAAGGAAACGCUUUCAAACAGAGCAGACAGGUCAUCGUCUGUGCAGGCACCUACCUGCUCUGCCCGAUUCCUCCUGCACCUUCCCUUCCACGUGGAUUCAGCCAUGCUACUGGGUCCCAUGUCUGUUCAGCUGUGUCCAACUUGCCAUAUAAUUUGCAUGUGCAGGUACAUCAAUUAGCGU
Long non-coding RNA from Apteryx rowi (Okarito brown kiwi), 891 nucleotides. Lineage: Eukaryota; Metazoa; Chordata; Aves; Apterygiformes; Apterygidae. The record is from Ensembl.